Long non-coding RNA from Danio aesculapii, 482 nucleotides. RefSeq lists it as uncharacterized. The transcript is spliced from 4 exons. The record is from RefSeq and is a predicted model, not a curated record. NCBI's taxonomy places the organism in Eukaryota, Metazoa, Chordata, Actinopteri, Cypriniformes, Danionidae.
AUCAUUAAAAUUCGUUAAUCUUAAUUAACCUAGAUGAGUAUUUAGAACUUUUUCUUAUUUUUGAGUUUGUAAAAAUUAAAUCUUUCAAGUAAGGUGAACGAUUUUGCUGUGUUUAAUUUAUACAAAAUGUCUCUUUAAAGUUUCAUUAACUCAAAAUCUUUCAGCCCAGUGAUUUUGCGUGUGACGUCAUCCAGGUUCACGUACGUUCUCGUGCUUCAUUCGUUUUUUCAAGAUGGCGGAUCGGCCUCGCUUCACACUACAAAUUGAAGGUCGGUUGUUGCUGACUACAGAAAGAUUCUUAUAUGGAGGCAUGUAAAAGCAAGGAAAGUGAAACUUCAGCUAGACCUUGAGUUCAGUUUACAAUAUGAAGAUCCUGAUAUCAACAUCUGAUCUGAUCAACACCUGAUUUUCAUCUGAGCUGCAGAGUACCAACAUGUUACAAAUGAGAAUUUUCCCCACAAAUUCUUUGGACAACCGCACCA